Molecule: small RNA, 28 nt
Filed under: Bombyx mori (domestic silkworm)
Lineage: Eukaryota; Metazoa; Arthropoda; Insecta; Lepidoptera; Bombycidae
Description: ovarian small RNA-32646
Source: RNAcentral
UGAUCGAAAAUCGGAACUGGGUGUAGAU